This 2904-nucleotide ribosomal RNA is filed under the name Enterobacter sp. BIDMC 30. RNAcentral's name for it is "bacterial LSU rRNA". It matches the Rfam family "Bacterial large subunit ribosomal RNA". The record is from RNAcentral. Lineage: Bacteria; Pseudomonadati; Pseudomonadota; Gammaproteobacteria; Enterobacterales; Enterobacteriaceae.
UUAAGCGACUAAGCGUACACGGUGGAUGCCCUGGCAGUCAGAGGCGAUGAAGGACGUGCUAAUCUGCGAAAAGCGCCGGCGAGGUGAUAUGAACCUUUGACCCGGCGAUGUCCGAAUGGGGAAACCCAGUGUGUUCCGACACACUAUCGUUAACUGAAUACAUAGGUUAACGAGGCGAACCGGGGGAACUGAAACAUCUAAGUACCCCGAGGAAAAGAAAUCAACCGAGAUUCCCCCAGUAGCGGCGAGCGAACGGGGAGCAGCCCAGAGUCUGAAUCAGCUUGUGUGUUAGUGGAAGCGUCUGGAAAGUCGCACGGUACAGGGUGAAAGUCCCGUACACGAAAAUGCACAGGCUGUGAACUCGAAGAGUAGGGCGGGACACGUGGUAUCCUGUCUGAAUAUGGGGGGACCAUCCUCCAAGGCUAAAUACUCCUGACUGACCGAUAGUGAACCAGUACCGUGAGGGAAAGGCGAAAAGAACCCCGGCGAGGGGAGUGAAAAAGAACCUGAAACCGUGUACGUACAAGCAGUGGGAGCCUCUUUAUGGGGUGACUGCGUACCUUUUGUAUAAUGGGUCAGCGACUUAUAUUCUGUAGCAAGGUUAACCGUAUAGGGGAGCCGAAGGGAAACCGAGUCUUAACUGGGCGUUAAGUUGCAGGGUAUAGACCCGAAACCCGGUGAUCUAGCCAUGGGCAGGUUGAAGGUUGGGUAACACUAACUGGAGGACCGAACCGACUAAUGUUGAAAAAUUAGCGGAUGACUUGUGGCUGGGGGUGAAAGGCCAAUCAAACCGGGAGAUAGCUGGUUCUCCCCGAAAGCUAUUUAGGUAGCGCCUCGUGAACUCAUCUUCGGGGGUAGAGCACUGUUUCGGCUAGGGGGCCAUCCCGGCUUACCAACCCGAUGCAAACUACGAAUACCGAAGAAUGUUAUCACGGGAGACACACGGCGGGUGCUAACGUCCGUCGUGAAGAGGGAAACAACCCAGACCGCCAGCUAAGGUCCCAAAGUCAUGGUUAAGUGGGAAACGAUGUGGGAAGGCACAGACAGCCAGGAUGUUGGCUUAGAAGCAGCCAUCAUUUAAAGAAAGCGUAAUAGCUCACUGGUCGAGUCGGCCUGCGCGGAAGAUGUAACGGGGCUAAACCAUGCACCGAAGCUGCGGCAGCGACGCUUAUGCGUUGUUGGGUAGGGGAGCGUUCUGUAAGCCGUUGAAGGUGUCCUGUGAGGGGUGCUGGAGGUAUCAGAAGUGCGAAUGCUGACAUAAGUAACGAUAAAGCGGGUGAAAAGCCCGCUCGCCGGAAGACCAAGGGUUCCUGUCCAACGUUAAUCGGGGCAGGGUGAGUCGACCCCUAAGGCGAGGCCGAAAGGCGUAGUCGAUGGGAAACAGGUUAAUAUUCCUGUACUUGGUGUUACUGCGAAGGGGGGACGGAGAAGGCUAUGUUAGCCGGGCGACGGUUGUCCCGGUUUAAGCAUGUAGGCGGAGGUUCCAGGUAAAUCCGGUUCCUUGUUAACGCUGAGGUGUGAUGACGAGGCACUACGGUGCUGAAGUAACAAAUGCCCUGCUUCCAGGAAAAGCCUCUAAGCAUCAGGUAACACGAAAUCGUACCCCAAACCGACACAGGUGGUCAGGUAGAGAAUACCAAGGCGCUUGAGAGAACUCGGGUGAAGGAACUAGGCAAAAUGGUGCCGUAACUUCGGGAGAAGGCACGCUGAUAUGUAGGUGAAGCCCCUGCGGGUGGAGCUGAAAUCAGUCGAAGAUACCAGCUGGCUGCAACUGUUUAUUAAAAACACAGCACUGUGCAAACACGAAAGUGGACGUAUACGGUGUGACGCCUGCCCGGUGCCGGAAGGUUAAUUGAUGGGGUUAGCGGUAACGCGAAGCUCUUGAUCGAAGCCCCGGUAAACGGCGGCCGUAACUAUAACGGUCCUAAGGUAGCGAAAUUCCUUGUCGGGUAAGUUCCGACCUGCACGAAUGGCGUAAUGAUGGCCAGGCUGUCUCCACCCGAGACUCAGUGAAAUUGAACUCGCUGUGAAGAUGCAGUGUACCCGCGGCAAGACGGAAAGACCCCGUGAACCUUUACUAUAGCUUGACACUGAACACUGGUCCUUGAUGUGUAGGAUAGGUGGGAGGCUUUGAAGCGUGGACGCCAGUCUGCGUGGAGCCAACCUUGAAAUACCACCCUUUAAUGGCUGGUGUUCUAACGUAGACCCGUGAUCCGGGUUGCGGACAGUGUCUGGUGGGUAGUUUGACUGGGGCGGUCUCCUCCCAAAGAGUAACGGAGGAGCACGAAGGUUAGCUAAUCCUGGUCGGACAUCAGGAGGUUAGUGCAAUGGCAUAAGCUAGCUUGACUGCGAGAGUGACGGCUCGAGCAGGUGCGAAAGCAGGUCAUAGUGAUCCGGUGGUUCUGAAUGGAAGGGCCAUCGCUCAACGGAUAAAAGGUACUCCGGGGAUAACAGGCUGAUACCGCCCAAGAGUUCAUAUCGACGGCGGUGUUUGGCACCUCGAUGUCGGCUCAUCACAUCCUGGGGCUGAAGUAGGUCCCAAGGGUAUGGCUGUUCGCCAUUUAAAGUGGUACGCGAGCUGGGUUUAGAACGUCGUGAGACAGUUCGGUCCCUAUCUGCCGUGGGCGCUGGAGAAUUGAGGGGGGCUGCUCCUAGUACGAGAGGACCGGAGUGGACGCAUCACUGGUGUUCGGGUUGUCAUGCCAAUGGCACUGCCCGGUAGCUAAAUGCGGAAGAGAUAAGUGCUGAAAGCAUCUAAGCACGAAACUUGCCCCGAGAUGAGUUCUCCCUGAGACUUUAAGUCUCCUGAAGGAACGUUGAAGACUACGACGUUGAUAGGUCGGGUGUGUAAGCGCAGCGAUGCGUUGAGCUAACCGAUACUAAUGAACCGUGAGGCUUAACCUU